Molecule: non-coding RNA, 234 nt
Organism: Vicia faba (fava bean)
Lineage: Eukaryota; Viridiplantae; Streptophyta; Magnoliopsida; Fabales; Fabaceae
Source: the annotation of a GenBank genome assembly
AUGUAUAGUCAGAUUUUUUAUUCUCAGUUGGAUGUUAACAACACUGUCAUUAUAUCAAACUUUAAAGUUGUUCUCAGUUGUUCUUCAUAUUUAGUUUUUCUGCCUCAACCAUAUUCAAGUAAUAUGGUUUUAAUGAGCCAUCCUUGCUUUUACAGUGGCAUAAUAAAAGUUUGGCGAAUGGAUGGUGAUGAAUUUCAGAUUUGGCAAGUGGAUGCAGAUGAAUGGAGAGAUUAA